Molecule: long non-coding RNA, 245 nt
Organism: Etheostoma cragini (Arkansas darter)
Lineage: Eukaryota; Metazoa; Chordata; Actinopteri; Perciformes; Percidae
Exons: 3
Source: RefSeq, a predicted model, not a curated record
UGUACAUGGACUUGAAUGGCCAUCUUUUGACUGAAUGUACUGCCAAACAACACUUUUUCUGCUCAAGAGUUCUAUUUUCACUUUCCCACAGCCUACUGCAUUGAGCGGUCCACCUACCAACACCUUCCUGUGAUCAACAUCGACCUGCGUUGCGCGCCUAGUGCAAGAGUAGGGUUCGGUGGAAAUGAAUUCUAAAGUUGAGCAACCUCGUCAAAAAGCCCAAUAUUCGGCCGAAUCUGAAGCCA